AUUAAUAGGACCAUUCUGUAAAUGGUUGAUAGAAGAAAAAGGGGGCUAGAGUUGUAGUAUGUUACAAUAAUUUAUACAUUUAUUGGUUAUGUUUUACUUACUUUUUUUGUAUUUUAUGUGAUUAUUUGGGGUUGUUCCAUUGAUUAAAGGAUAAAAUUAAAGUUUUAUUCUUGCUUGUAAAUUUAUUAUUUGGAUAUUUUAUAUGUAAAUUUUUGUGGGUGAUUACAAGAUCUAAAAGGUGUUAUUAUUAUUCGCAGUAUUUGGUUUUAAUUAAUCAAGGAGGUUUG
Molecule: ribosomal RNA, 287 nt
Filed under: Poecilimon gracilis
Lineage: Eukaryota; Metazoa; Arthropoda; Insecta; Orthoptera; Tettigoniidae
Description: partial small subunit ribosomal RNA
Source: RNAcentral